UGGUAACAGGAAACAGCUUGCUGUUUCGCUGACGAGUGGCGGACGGGUGAGUAAUGUCUGGGAAACUGCCUGAUGGAGGGGGAUAACUACUGGAAACGGUAGCUAAUACCGCAUAACGUCGCAAGACCAAAGAGGGGGACCUUCGGGCCUCUUGCCAUCAGAUGUGCCCAGAUGGGAUUAGCUAGUAGGUGGGGUAACGGCUCACCUAGGCGACGAUCCCUAGCUGGUCUGAGAGGAUGACCAGCCACACUGGAACUGAGACACGGUCCAGACUCCUACGGGAGGCAGCAGUGGGGAAUAUUGCACAAUGGGCGCAAGCCUGAUGCAGCCAUGCCGCGUGUAUGAAGAAGGCCUUCGGGUUGUAAAGUACUUUCAGCGGGGAGGAAGGGAGUAAAGUUAAUACCUUUGCUCAUUGACGUUACCCGCAGAAGAAGCACCGGCUAACUCCGUGCCAGCAGCCGCGGUAAUACGGAGGGUGCAAGCGUUAAUCGGAAUUACUGGGCGUAAAGCGCACGCAGGCGGUUUGUUAAGUCAGAUGUGAAAUCCCCGGGCUCAACCUGGGAACUGCAUCUGAUACUGGCAAGCUUGAGUCUCGUAGAGGGGGGUAGAAUUCCAGGUGUAGCGGUGAAAUGCGUA
This 636-nucleotide ribosomal RNA is filed under the name uncultured Pseudomonadota bacterium. RNAcentral's name for it is "bacterial SSU rRNA". It matches the Rfam family "Bacterial small subunit ribosomal RNA", at positions 67 to 692 of the family's 1533-position model. Lineage: Bacteria; Pseudomonadati; Pseudomonadota. The record is from RNAcentral.